RNAcentral lists this long non-coding RNA (954 nucleotides) under Pan troglodytes (chimpanzee). Its description in RNAcentral is "lincRNA". The record is from RNAcentral. Lineage: Eukaryota; Metazoa; Chordata; Mammalia; Primates; Hominidae.
GCUUUAGAGGAUGACAGGUGCUGUGGAGUUGGGAGACUGAGACUGUCAGGAGCGAGGAGGGAUGGCUGUAAUUUUAAAUAGGGGCAUCAUCAGGAUGAACCUUGCUGAACUGAAGCCCCUUCCAUGACACUAAAGUAAGAAGAUAAUUCUGGUCAUUUCAUCCAAGCCCUGCAGAUUGGCAGGUGUUUGGUUCAAACAUAUAUUCAGGACAUGACUUAUUUUGAUAUUUGAGGAGCCCUCUUCUCUCCAUCCCCUCCGGAAAAAAAAAAAAAAAAAAAAAAAAAAAAGUUGAUUUUCCUUGUGAUUCUUCUGGAACUCCGAGGCAACCUGUUUUCCCAAGAACAGGGCACCGAGGUGGUUGCAAGGGUGCGGAGGGAGGAUCGCACCUGUGGGAGAGGCGCGCCGGUCUCUCUCAGGGACCUGUAGCUACACGCAGAAGAUGCUGCCAAUUGCGCGGAGGUCUCUGACGCUUGGUGCUGAGGACACCGUACUAAUUUAAAUGGUAUCAGAGUGAACACGAUGCUACAUGUAGAAUGAAACUUCCCAAGCCCUCACCUGAAGAGAUAAGGCUGAAGUCAUAAACAUCAUACGUGGAAAAGUAUUGCAAACCUGCUUCUCUUCUGUGCUGGGGUCUGUACCAAUGUUUAUUGAACCAAACAAGGUCCCUACCUUACAGAAGAUGCUUCUUGAAGGAUGGCGUGUUAAUCUUCUAAGUAUGUUCUGGUUGGGAGGAUAGAGCACUGUCACAGCUACAGUGAGCACUGUCACAGCUACAGCUAUACCUCUGCAAAGCCAGGAAAAACACGUUCCCUAGGAGAGUCUCUAGCCUUAAUCUGUAGCUGCAAAUAGAAAUGACAACUCAUUUUCUCAAUAAUGAAAUGUUUUUGGGUAGGGCUAAAAGCAGAAUGAACCACCAAAAAGCCCCUUUUGACAUGUUGCCUGUGUAAAGACAAA